This 497-nucleotide ribosomal RNA is filed under the name uncultured bacterium. RNAcentral's name for it is "partial 16S ribosomal RNA". It matches the Rfam family "Bacterial small subunit ribosomal RNA", at positions 28 to 507 of the family's 1533-position model. The record is from RNAcentral.
GAUGAACGCUGGCGGCGUGCCUAAUACAUGCAAGUCGAGCGAACAGACGAGGAGCUUGCUCCUCUGACGUUAGCGGCGGACGGGUGAGUAACACGUGGAUAACCUACCUAUAAGACUGGGAUAACUUCGGGAAACCGGAGCUAAUACCGGAUAAUAUAUUGAACCGCAUGGUUCAAUAGUGAAAGACGGUUUUGCUGUCACUUAUAGAUGGAUCCGCGCCGCAUUAGCGAGUUGGUAAGGUAACGGCUUACCAAGGCGACGAUGCGUAGCCGACCUGAGAGGGUGUUCGCCCACACUGGAACUGAGACACGGCCCAGACUCCUACGGGAGGCAGCAGUAGGGAAUCUUCCGCAAUGGGCGAAAGCCUGACGGAGCAACGCCGCGUGAGUGAUGAAGGUCUUCGGAUCUUAAAACUCUUUUAUUAGGGAAGAACAAAUGUGUAAGUAACUAUGCACGUCUUGACGGUACCUAAUCAGAAAGCCACGGCUAACUACGUG